This 232-nucleotide ribosomal RNA is filed under the name uncultured bacterium. RNAcentral's name for it is "partial 16S ribosomal RNA". It matches the Rfam family "Bacterial small subunit ribosomal RNA", at positions 100 to 334 of the family's 1533-position model. The record is from RNAcentral.
CGGGACGGGUGAGUAAUGUCUGGGAAACUGCCUGAUGGAGGGGGAUAACUACUGGAAACGGUAGCUAAUACCGCAUAACGUCGCAAGACCAAAGAGGGGACCUUCGGGCCUCUUGCCAUCGGAUGUGCCCAGAUGGGAUUAGCUAGUAGGUGGGGUAACGGCUCACCUAGGCGACGAUCCCUAGCUGGUCUGAGAGGAUGAUCAGCCACACUGGGACUGAGACACGGCCCAG